Molecule: ribosomal RNA, 448 nt
Filed under: uncultured Planctomycetota bacterium
Lineage: Bacteria; Pseudomonadati; Planctomycetota
Description: bacterial SSU rRNA
Rfam family: Bacterial small subunit ribosomal RNA
Source: RNAcentral
GCUUAGAGAGGGGUCAAUGUCCUAUCAGCUAGUUGGUAGGGUAAUGGCCUACCAAGGCUAAGACGGGUAGCCGGCCUGAGAGGGUGGUCGGCCACACUGGGACUGAGACACUGCCCAGACUCCUACGGGAGGCUGCAGUCGAGAAUCUUUCGCAAUGCCCGAAAGGGUGACGAAGCGACGCCGCGUGUGGGAAGAAGGCCUUCGGGUUGUAAACCACUGUCGGGAGUUAAGAAAUGUAAGGGUGUUAAUAGCAUCCUUACUUGACUAAGGCUCCGGAGGAAGCCGCGGCUAACUCUGUGCCAGCAGCCGCGGUAAUACAGAGGCGGCAAGCGUUGUUCGGAAUUAUUGGGCGUAAAGAGCACGUAGGCGGCCUUGUAAGUCAGUUGUGAAAGCCUUCUGCUUAACGGAAGAACAGCAUCUGAUACUGCAAGGCUAGAGUACGGAAGGG